Molecule: non-coding RNA, 27 nt
Filed under: Homo sapiens (human)
Lineage: Eukaryota; Metazoa; Chordata; Mammalia; Primates; Hominidae
Source: RNAcentral
CCAAAAACUGCCAGUGCCCCCACUCUC